UACGGGGGGGGCAAGCGUUGUUCGGAAUUACUGGGCGUAAAGGGCUCGUAGGCGGCCAACUAAGUCGGAUGUGAAAUCCCCAGGCUCAACUUGGGAACUGCAUCCGAUACUGGAUGGCUUGAAUUCGGGAGAGGGAUGCAGAAUUCCAGGUGUAGCGGUGAAAUGCGUAGAUAUCAGGAGGAACACCGGUGGCGAAGGCGGAUCUCUGGACCGAUACUGACGCUGAGGAGCGAAAGCGUGGGGAGCAAACAGG
Molecule: ribosomal RNA, 253 nt
Filed under: uncultured bacterium
Lineage: Bacteria
Description: partial 16S ribosomal RNA
Rfam family: Bacterial small subunit ribosomal RNA
Source: RNAcentral